CAAAAACAUCGCCUCCCGCAAAAACCUACGUAUAGGAGGUCCUGCCUGCCCAGUGACUAUAAGUUAAACGGCCGCGGUAUUUUGACCGUGCAAAGGUAGCGCAAUCACUUGUCUUUUAAAUGAAGACCUGUAUGAAUGGUGAAACGAGGGCUUAACUGUCUCCCCCUUCUAGUCAAUGAAAUUGAUUUACCCGUGCAGAAGCGGGUAUAAUAAUACAAGACGAGAAGACCCUUUGGAGCUUAAGAUAAAAGACCAAUUAUGUCAAAAGUCCUAAAAAAGACUAAACCAAAUAAUGCUGGUCCUUAAUCUUCGGUUGGGGUGACCACGGGAAAAAAUAAAACUCCCAUGCGGACUGGGGUAUUCCCUAAAACUAAGAAAGACAUCUCUAAGAUACAGAACAUCUGACCACAAAGAUCCGGCUACAUGCCGACCAACGGACCAAGUUACCCUAGGGAUAACAGCGCAAUCCCCUUCCAGAGUUCAUAUCGACAAGGGGGUUUACGACCUCGAUGUUGGAUCAGGACAUCCUAAUGGUGCAGCCGCUAUUAAGGGUUC
RNAcentral lists this ribosomal RNA (555 nucleotides) under Panaqolus nocturnus. Its description in RNAcentral is "partial 16S ribosomal RNA". It matches the Rfam family "Bacterial large subunit ribosomal RNA", at positions 1808 to 2574 of the family's 2925-position model. The record is from RNAcentral. Lineage: Eukaryota; Metazoa; Chordata; Actinopteri; Siluriformes; Loricariidae.